This is a long non-coding RNA of Mauremys reevesii (Reeves's turtle), 489 nucleotides long. RefSeq lists it as uncharacterized. The transcript is spliced from 4 exons. Lineage: Eukaryota; Metazoa; Chordata; Testudines; Geoemydidae. The record is from RefSeq and is a predicted model, not a curated record.
UUUCAGCAGGAUCAGGGACAGCAAGACCUGAGCUGUAGGGUUGGCAACCCAGGUGGCAAACUUCCCAAAGUCUCAUAGUUGGUUCAGGCAUGGAACAGCUUGGAAAUUCACUUCUGGAUCCUGAUCUGAGCUCCAGCUAGCUCUUGACACCACACCAAGCGACUGAAGAGCUGAUCAAAAAGGAGAGCCUGGCUGAAGAGCAACCAGCCUGUGUGUGUCAGAGACACCCCUUGGGAGAACAAGCCUGGCGCCAAACUUGACAGCUAGAGUCCACACGCAGUCAAUAGGAGCAAUGGGCACUCAGCACCUCAGUGAACGAACUGCACCUUUCAGGAUUGAGCCUCUAAGCCCGAGCCAAAGAAGUCACUGUUCUUUAUUGAUAUAAAAACCUGAAGGUGGCUGAAGAGAAACGUAGAAACCUCUUAAAGGUGGAAAUACCUGCAGGUGCGGCACUAUUCUGGAUAACACCCUUAACUCACAGGUAUUAUU